AGGCUCAGGAUAAACGCUGGCGGCGUGCUUAACACAUGCAAGUCGAACGGAGUAUCCUCCCGAGACCGAAGAAGCUUGCUUCUGAAGAAUCAUUUGGAAUACUUAGUGGCGGACGGGUGAGUAACGCGUGGGUAACCUGCCUCACACUGGGGGAUAGCAGUUGGAAACGACUGAUAAUACCGCAUAAGCGCACAGUACCGCAUGGUACAGUGUGAAAAACUCCGGUGGUGUGAGAUGGACCCCGCGUCUGAUUAGCUAGUUGGUGAGGUAACGGCCCACCAAGGCGACGAUCAGUAGCCGGCCUGAGAGGGUGUACGGCCACAUUGGGACUGAGACACGGCCCAAACUCCUACGGGAGGCAGCAGUGGGGAAUAUUGCACAAUGGGGGAAACCCUGAUGCAGCGACGCCCGCGUGAGUGAUGAAGUAUUUCGGUAUGUAAAGCUCUAUCAGCAGGGAAGAUAAUGACGGUACCUGACUAAGAAGCACCGGCUAAAUACGUGCCAGCCGCAGC
This 512-nucleotide ribosomal RNA is filed under the name uncultured bacterium. RNAcentral's name for it is "bacterial SSU rRNA". It matches the Rfam family "Bacterial small subunit ribosomal RNA", at positions 20 to 518 of the family's 1533-position model. The record is from RNAcentral.